GACGAACGCUGGCGGCGUGCCUAACACAUGCAAGUCGAGCGAACGGACGAGAAGCUUGCUUCUCUGAUGGUAGCGGCGGACGGGUGAGUAACAUGUGGAUAACCUACCUAUAAGAAUGGGAUAAUUUUGGGAAACCGGAUCUAAUACCGGAUGAUAUUUUGAACCGCAUUGUUCAAAAGUGAAAUACGGUCUUUCUUUCACUUAUAGAUGGAUCCGCGCUUAAUUAGCUAGUUGGGAGGGUAAUGGCUUACCAAGGCUAGGAUGCAUAGCCGACCUGAGCGGGUGGUCGGACACACGGGAUCUGAGACACGGUCCCGACUCCUGCGGGAGGCCGCAGUAGGGAAUCUUCCGCAAUGGGCGAAAGGCUGACAGAGCAACGCCGCGUGAGUGAUGAAGCUCUUCGGAUCGUAAAGCUCUGUUAGUAGGGGAGAACAUAUGUUUAAGUACCUGUGCACAUCUUGACGGUACCUAGUCAAAAAGCCACGGCUAACUACGUG
RNAcentral lists this ribosomal RNA (497 nucleotides) under uncultured bacterium. Its description in RNAcentral is "partial 16S ribosomal RNA". It matches the Rfam family "Bacterial small subunit ribosomal RNA", at positions 28 to 507 of the family's 1533-position model. The record is from RNAcentral.